UACGAGGAAUAUCGAGUCCUGUCAGCGGAUCCUAAGGGCGCCUGCUUCGUGUCUCGCCAUCAAUUCCUGGGGUGUUCUGCCUUCGAGAGCUUCAACGCUUCAAAUCAAGAUGCGGACCUCGCAGAUGUGGGCGAAGGCGAAGAUUCACUCCGGUGCAAGCUAGUAGACACGCGGCUUUCGAGUGUCUCGGUGUCUCCGAGCAUCCUCGUCGGUACCUGAUCAACCCCACUGCCACGGGCGCCCAGAUGCAAGACCUACCUUCUACAUGAAGAGGCUGGCUGCACUACGCCGCAUCUGUAUCUCACACCUGCACAUUGUAUCCAGUGCGCCGUCCAUUUGCGUGGAACGAGAAUUGAUUCUGCCUUGCCUUGUCUUCUCAUCAUGAUGUGAGAGCAUCGAAGCCCCAUCAAGCAGAUCUUAAUACCUAGCGGUGACGUAACUUUUCAAUAAAUUAUACAAAAGGUUUUAAUUUCAUAGUCUAGUUAUGAUAGGAGUAUACAAGCGGUUUAAAUAAUAUUCACGAUUCCUAACUGCUUACUUAUUUGUAGGUAGAUAACUGGUGCCUAUUUGAUACUUAUUUUAUAAUCAUGAUUCCGUUUUAUAGGUACAUACCUAAGUAUAUUACGUAUGUUGAAAUGUUAUUGUGGGUGUAUAUAUUUUGAUCAUUUGGUAUAUAGUUUGAUCUGUAUUUGCCAAUGUAUUA
Long non-coding RNA from Cydia pomonella (codling moth), 703 nucleotides. RefSeq lists it as uncharacterized. Lineage: Eukaryota; Metazoa; Arthropoda; Insecta; Lepidoptera; Tortricidae. The record is from RefSeq and is a predicted model, not a curated record. The transcript has 2 exons.